UUCUGGAAACAUUCGUUGAAAGGCGAAGUUUCCGCGGCACUUACAUUCCAUGAGCACUGUCAUAAUUUCCCGAAAGUCUCUUGGGGAAGCUGGAUUUGGGAGAGGUAUGUUCCGGUCAGACGGUCAAUUACCUGCUGGAGAAUUCUUCAUUAUCGGCUGCCUACGCUCGAUAAUCUCAUUCGCCGUGGUCUAAUCAUGCCUAGCUAUUGUUAUAUUUGUCGGCGGGAUUUGGAGUCUAUUGAUCAUAUUUUCUGGACUUGUGAUGGCGUGAGGGAGAUUUGGACUACGUUUCUCACUUGGUUUAAUGUGGAAUAUCUUCUUGAUUGCGUAGACAUUCAUUCCUUCUUUGUGUGUGCUUGGAAUAUGAACUUCAGCUGCGAGAUUACUAGCUACUGGAAGGCAGGGAUUAUGACGUUGGUUUGGAAAAUCUG
RNAcentral lists this long non-coding RNA (431 nucleotides) under Salvia miltiorrhiza (redroot sage). RNAcentral's name for it is "long non-coding RNA (SMIL_LNC011041)". Lineage: Eukaryota; Viridiplantae; Streptophyta; Magnoliopsida; Lamiales; Lamiaceae. The record is from RNAcentral.